AUGCUCCACUCAGCAGCACAUAUGUUAAAAUUGAAACGGUACAGAGCACAGCAGCAUGACCCCUGCAUGAGGAUGACCUGAAAAUGUGUGAAGGAAUCCGAAUUUUU
Molecule: small nuclear RNA, 107 nt
Organism: Echinops telfairi (small Madagascar hedgehog)
Lineage: Eukaryota; Metazoa; Chordata; Mammalia; Afrosoricida; Tenrecidae
Source: Ensembl